GAUGAACGCUGGCGGCGUGCCUAAUACAUGCAAGUCGAGCGAACGGAUGAGAAGCUUGCUUCUCUGAUGUUAGCGGCGGACGGGUGAGUAACACGUGGAUAACCUACCUAUAAGACUGGGAUAACUUCGGGAAACCGGAGCUAAUACCGGAUAAUAUUUUGAACCGCAUGGUUCUAAAGUGAAAGACGGUCUUGCUGUCACUUAUAGAUGGAUCCGCGCUGCAUUAGCUAGUUGGUAAGGUAACGGCUUACCAAGGCGACGAUACAUAGCCGACCUGAGAGGGUGAUCGGCCACACUGGAACUGAGACACGGUCCAGACUCCUACGGGAGGCAGCAGUAGGGAAUCUUCCGCAAUGGGCGAAAGCCUGACGGAGCAACGCCGCGUGAGUGAUGAAGGUCUUCGGAUCGUAAAACUCUGUUAUUAGGGAAGAACAUAUGUGUAAGUAACUGUGCACAUCUUGACGGUACCUAAUCAGAAAGCCACGGCUAACUACGUG
RNAcentral lists this ribosomal RNA (497 nucleotides) under uncultured bacterium. Its description in RNAcentral is "partial 16S ribosomal RNA". It matches the Rfam family "Bacterial small subunit ribosomal RNA", at positions 28 to 507 of the family's 1533-position model. The record is from RNAcentral.